Long non-coding RNA from Amblyraja radiata (thorny skate), 152 nucleotides. RefSeq lists it as uncharacterized. The record is from RefSeq and is a predicted model, not a curated record. Lineage: Eukaryota; Metazoa; Chordata; Chondrichthyes; Rajiformes; Rajidae. The transcript has 3 exons.
UUCACUCUCCUCAGAUAAGUGUAAGAAAUGAAGUGGACGAGCUUGUGGCUCGGUUAGAAAUUGUCAAGUAUAAUGUUGUGGGAAUUACAGAGCCAUGGGUGCAAGAGGGCCAGGGCUGGGAACUGAAUAGUCAAGGGCAUACGUUCUAUUGA